Molecule: ribosomal RNA, 140 nt
Filed under: uncultured bacterium
Lineage: Bacteria
Description: partial 16S ribosomal RNA
Rfam family: Bacterial small subunit ribosomal RNA
Source: RNAcentral
UGGGGGAUAUUGCACAAUGGGGGGGAACCCGUGAUGCAGCGACGCCGCGUGGGUGAAGAAGCGCCUCGGCGCGUAAAGCCCUGUCAGCAGGGGAAGAAAAUGACGGUACCUGAAGAAGAAGCCCCGGCUAACUACGUGCC